UACGGGAGGCAGCAGUGAGGAAUAUUGGUCAAUGGACGAGAGUCUGAACCAGCCAAGUAGCGUGCAGGAUGACGGCCCUAUGGGUUGUAAACUGCUUUUGUCGGGGAAUAAAGUGGCGUACGUGUACGUUUUUGUAUGUACCCGAAGAAUAAGGACCGGCUAAUUCCGUGCCAGCAGCCGCGGUAAU
RNAcentral lists this ribosomal RNA (187 nucleotides) under uncultured rumen bacterium. Its description in RNAcentral is "partial 16S ribosomal RNA". It matches the Rfam family "Bacterial small subunit ribosomal RNA", at positions 340 to 524 of the family's 1533-position model. The record is from RNAcentral.